UUUAACGGCCGCAGUAUUUUGACUGUGCAAAGGUAGCAUAAUCAUUAGUCUUUUAAUAGGGGGCUGGUAUGAAGGGUUUGACGAGGUGUUUACUGUCUCAUUUAAUUUGUAUUUAGAAUUUAACUUUUCAGUUAAAAGGCUGAAAUGAUAUUGGAAGACGAGAAGACCCUAUAGAGCUUUAUAAUUAAAACUUUAAUUAUUUUUUGUUUAUUAUUUUUUAUUAUUAUUUUAAUUAUUUUGUUGGGGUGACAAAAAUAUAUAAUUAACUUUUUUAUUUAAUUAACAUUGAUUUAUGAUUAUUAGAUCCAUUACUAGUGAUUGUUAGAUUAAGUUACCUUAGGGAUAACAGCGUAAUCUUCCUUCAGAGUUCAUAUUUACGGGAAGGCUUGCGACCUCGAUGUUGGAUUAAGAUAAUAAUUAGGUGUAGCCGCUUAAUAUAUAGGUCUGUUCGACCUUUAAAUUCUUACAUGAUCUGA
Molecule: ribosomal RNA, 476 nt
Filed under: Asiagomphus amamiensis
Lineage: Eukaryota; Metazoa; Arthropoda; Insecta; Odonata; Aeshnidae
Description: partial 16S ribosomal RNA
Rfam family: Bacterial large subunit ribosomal RNA
Source: RNAcentral